UGGAUAUUUGAAUGUCCCACUUCAUUUUGUUAUCAAUAUGAAUACCCAGAUAUUUAUAAAAAUUUACAUUUUCAAGUUCUGUGUCAUCAAUUUGGACUACUAAACCAUUUUGUGCUUUACUUUUAGGUGAUAUUAACAUAGUUUUAGAUUUAUUUAUGUUUAUUGUUAAUUUGUUUGAUCGCAUCCAGUUUGCUACUUUAGCAAUUUCAGUGUUCACCCUUAAUUCAAGGGCUGCACAGGAUUUGUCACUGUCAAGGAGAUUGGUAUCAUCUGCAAAUAAUUUCGAGAAUAAUGAAGAACAAUGAGUUAUGUCAUUAACAUAUACUAAAAAUAACAAUGGACCCAAACAGCUACCUUGUGGAACUCCAUGAGUCACUGAUUUAAGAAGAGGAAUUACUCUUGCAAUUUUGAGAGAAGAAGGAAAUAUGCCGAGAGAGAGUGAGCAAUUGAAGAACUCUGUCAGACAUGGAGCGAUGAGGUCAGCAACUAAUUUAAGAAAGCGCGCUGGAAUAUUAUCUGGCCCAACUGCCUUCCUAUCCUUCAAAUUUUGAAUUUCUACCAACAAUUCAUUAGAAGUAGUCGGACUCAAAAAUAUAGACUGGCUCAGAGGAUUAUGAAGAAGUUGUUUGAAGUUACCCGAAUCAUUAGAAAACUUUUCUGAGAGGCUGGACCCUAUGGUUGAGAAGUACUUAUUAAAUUCAGUUGAUAUCGAAAAGUCAUCUUUGGUGAUACUGCCAUUUUUCAGAUAAAUUUCCUUAACUUUUUGUCUUGAUUUAUUAUGCGUGUGCGUAAUUUGGUUAACUAUUUGCCAUGUCGAUCUCGGGUUGCCUCUGUUUUGGGCAAUAAGGUUUUGGUAAUAAAUUUGCUUUGCUCUAUCUA
This is a non-coding RNA of Styela clava, 879 nucleotides long. The record is from RefSeq and is a predicted model, not a curated record. Lineage: Eukaryota; Metazoa; Chordata; Ascidiacea; Stolidobranchia; Styelidae.